Triticum dicoccoides is the source of this 2922-nucleotide RNA transcript. RefSeq lists it as uncharacterized. NCBI's taxonomy places the organism in Eukaryota, Viridiplantae, Streptophyta, Magnoliopsida, Poales, Poaceae. The record is from RefSeq and is a predicted model, not a curated record. The transcript is spliced from 4 exons.
GCGAGCGAGAGAAAAAGAAGCGAGCGACCGAGUAGCUGCGUAGCGAUGCCUGUGACCUAACCCGUCUCCCCCAGCGAACCCCGCCUCCUCUCCUGCCGCCGCCGCCGCGCCCCCUUCUUCCCUUCUCCAUGCUCGCCGCUGCCGACGCCGCGUCUGCCAGCCGCCCCGCCUCGAGCCAGCCGCCGUUCGGUAAAAACCUAACCUCCACACCCACGCCCCCACCAGUCCCUCCCUCCUCUUCCUCGACCUCCCUCCUAGCUGCCUCCGCCUCCCCUCCGCGGUCGACCUCCUCGUUGCCGGUGAUGCUACAGCGCCUUGGCCCGGUCGUCUCUGUCUCUUGCCGUGCUCUCUCAUGCUGCUGUGCCUCCUGGACGACGCUCCCGUGCCUCGGAUGCACCCCCUUCUCUCCCGAGCUCCAGAUCCAUGGCUGCAGCGGCGAGAUGAAAUUGCAACACCUGGUACCAAGACCAUGCUGGGAUUUUCUGAUCAUGUUAGGAGCUUUGUCAAUCCUGUAUGGACGACCUCUUUGAGUGGAAAUGAUUCGGAUACAACAUCACGGACAGGAAAACAGUUGGACAUCAGCCAUGAAAAGGUUUGAGGUCUUUCACGGAGUUUCCUACCAGCUAUUCAUCUAGAGCACUAUCCUUGUGAAAAUUUCUCAUUUUCUCCUCCAUCUAUUGAUAGGAGACGCACUCGACAAGGGUGUAAGUAGUCUCACCAGUCCAAUUCAGAGUUACAAGAAAGUUCUAAAUCUGAUAAUUUUAAACUUGUGUAGCAUGUCCUGUUUGUUAUGUGCCUGUUGACCAGGGCCUGGCAUUGAUGCCAGCUGCUCAUCUGUCCGAAGACAAUUUGGUACUCAUAGGUCCAAUAGUGGUUCUUUAUUUUGUGGUUAUCCAUCCCUGGAACAACGAGAUAUGUCUUAUAUGACAUAAAAGACUCGAUGACACUACAUUGUGGAUCUGUGAGGGGGGAAGAUACAUGGUCCCGAUACUGCAUUCGAUGUAGAUGAAGCUGGUCUGUCUGAGAUGCGGCAGUGCCAGGGGACAUUUGCUUCUGCUAUUUUCGGGAACUGCAUCCUCUUUUCUAUGCCAAUUAUAUUUGCAUGUUGUCAUGUUUCCAUGCCGGUGCUAAUUGCACAUCGUGUGUGAACUUUCUUAUUUGUUUUUUCUCAGAGAAUUAUGAUAUAAUGCAACGACCAGAAAACAUCAGUACAUUUUCAAAAGAUAUUGUUUGCUUCUUCAUGUUUCUGGAUGAAGAAACUGAAGCUGCAAUAAAGAAGAUCCCUACUGUUGAUAAUACGAAAAGAAUCAGGCUGUGGCGGGUGGUUGUUGUGCACAACCUUUUCCUGACCCAACAACUUUCGUGAAAAUCAGCCUAAAAUCACUGUGCAGUUCAUUGUGAAGAAAAUAAAAAAAAAUACUACUGAACCGACAGAGUUUUGAAGCUGGCUUCGCCGCUGCUGUACUGUACAUUAGGUUAUUUGAUUUUCCUAAUUGAAUCUUUUUGGUGCCAGUUACUUCUGGCAUGGAGAUUGUGCACAAGUUAAAAUUCAGCUUAGCGGGCAAUGUAAACUAAAAUUUAGUUGCAAAUAUAAUUUUACGCAAUCUUCUAAAAGCAACAUGCGCUCUUAUCUAGAUAGCUGAUCCAACAUGUUUUCAUUCUUUUCUGCAUUGGGUCAGUGUGAAAAGUUUCUUGACUCCACAACCAUCUUUCCGUUCUGUUGAAAGACGAGAGGAGUAUGCCAUGCUUAAUGUGAAUCAGCAUGAGCGAAUUGUUUUCCUAAUCACGUAUUUUCCUUGUGGUAAUUUUUUAAUUGAAAUGCCAUGCUUAAUGCGAAUCAGCAUGAGCGAUUUUUUUUUCCUAAUUGUGUAUUUUCCUUGUUAUAAUUUUUUAACUGAAUCCCUUGUGAUAUUUAGGUUCCAAAACUAUUACUUCAUCGGCUCUUUCCUAAUGUGCGGUAUUCACUCUGUAUCGAUGGGAAACUUAAACUUGUGAAGGAUCCUUAUCAGCUGUUAAAGAGAUUCUUGUGGAGGAAAAAUGUGCGCUUCACUAUUUCCAGGUAUUAUAGACGCUUUGAUGUCUUUGAGGAAGCUGAGGCCAACAAGGCUGGAAGUAUGAUAAUGCUUCAAUCGAUAACCAAAUAAAGUUCUACAAGACAGAGGGUUAACCCAUUAUUCAUCAGCUAAGCUCCUUAUUGCAAGCUGCAAAUGGUUCUUCUCGCUGAAUUCUGAUAUAGAAAUACUUCUCCUGAGAACAUAAGGGAUACAUUUAUCUUGAACAGAUUCCCUGAGGGUUGUGUAAUUAUAGGAGAGCACAUACCAUCACCAAUCUCUUCACAUGCCUUUGGUUCAAUGAAGUUGAUCGUUCACCUCAAGAGAUCAGCUAAGCUUUAGCACAACGAGGGAUAAAAUAAGAUCAAGAGUUCUUGUUGACAACUAAAUAAGAUCAGGAGUUGAUUGGACUGCAGACAUGUUCCUGGAUUGUGGAAGGCGUGAAUUUGUUGUUCAGGUAUUUUUUGAGUUAAUGCUUUGUGCGGCACAUCAUUCCAUUUGCAACCUGAAGUACUAUUGCAACUUGGUACCGAGUGCAGACUUUGUCAAAUUACACACAAAAAAUUCUAGCAUAACAAUGGAUCUUCGCAUCUUCAUAGCGAGCUGUUUGAAAACAACAUCAGUGGACCGAUGAUUUUUUUUGGAAAGAACACAAUGUCAGGAUCUUUGACAUAAUAGAAUUUUGCUGGAGUUUGAGGCUAUCUAUUGAUGAGGUAUCCUGGAGAGCUGCAAGUUGCUUUUCUUGUUUUGAAUCAUGUUCUUGUUGUUUUCUCCUUGCUGAGAGUGUAUUAUGUGGGUAGUGUACUCAUCAUGAUCUCUGAAGCUAUGCUUACAGUUGCAUCAUUGUUUUCUUGAAAAUUGACCCUCUAAA